AUUCAUAUAUAUAUAUAUAUUUACAUAUAUUCCACCGCUUCAUCACUUCAUGCGAGAAAAAUAAGGAGGAAAGAAAAUAUAUAUUUAUAAGGACGAUGAUGAUGAUGAUGAUGAUGAAGGACUUGUUGUUUAUACCCAGAACAUGGAUUUGUUUAUACCCAAAGGAUGGACUAGCUGUUUGUAGUCAAGAAAUGGUGCAACACACAGGUUAUAAUUAUUUCUAUAACAUAACAAUUUCAAGGUUCUGUUGGAACUCCUGGAGUCUUACAUGCAUAGUAGGUUUGCUGCCUUCAGCAUAUGGUACCAUGCUAUCUGUUCCUUUCAACUAUCUAAUACUUUCCUGAUUAUUCUGGCCAGGCCAAGGAGAGACAUUAUGCUGAAUUUGUUUGUCGGUUGAGUAAGAAAAUAACAGGACAACCAAUUUUUGGCACCAGUUCGUAGUCAGACAGAUAUACAGACAGAUGGACCGUUGUAAGGAAGAAACUAACAAUGGGUCAGACUCCAUCUAGAACAACAACAACAACAACGAUGACGAUGAUGAUGAUGACGACAACAACAACAGAAAUUAUAACCUUUUGAAGUUUCCACAGGAAGAUAAAGAUAAUGUGAGGGAGAGAUAAUAUUUAACAAUUACAGCCAAAACCAACACCACCACCAACACCAACAAUAAAAACAACCAUGGCUACUACAACAACUACAUCAACAACAAUAGAAACAAGUACACUAACAAUGAAGGCAAUAGCUACAACAACUAUUGCAGAGAAUA
Octopus bimaculoides (California two-spot octopus) is the source of this 766-nucleotide long non-coding RNA. The record is from RefSeq and is a predicted model, not a curated record. NCBI's taxonomy places the organism in Eukaryota, Metazoa, Mollusca, Cephalopoda, Octopoda, Octopodidae.